GUGGGGAAUUUUGGACAAUGGGCGCAAGCCUGAUCCAGCAAUGCCGCGUGCAGGAAGAAGGCCUUCGGGUUGUAAACUGCUUUUGUACGGAACGAAACGGUCCUGGCUAAUAUCCGGGGCUAAUGACGGUACCGUAAGAAUAAGCACCGGCUAACUACGUGCCAGCAGCCGCGGUAAUACGUAGGGUGCGAGCGUUAAUCGGAAUUACUGGGCGUAAAGCGUGCACAGGCGGUGCUGUAAGACAGGCGUGAAAUCCCCGGGCUCAACCUGGGAAUUGCGCUUGUGACUGCAGUGCUGGAGUGCGGCAGAGGGGGAUGGAAUUCCGCGUGUAGCAGUGAAAUGCGUAGAUAUGCGGAGGAACACCGAUGGCGAAGGCAAUCCCCUGGGCCUGCACUGACGCUCAUGCACGAAAGCGUGGGGAGCAAACAGGAUUAGAAACCCUUGUAGUCC
This 450-nucleotide ribosomal RNA is filed under the name uncultured bacterium. Its description in RNAcentral is "partial 16S ribosomal RNA". It matches the Rfam family "Bacterial small subunit ribosomal RNA", at positions 354 to 796 of the family's 1533-position model. The record is from RNAcentral.